Molecule: ribosomal RNA, 460 nt
Filed under: uncultured bacterium
Lineage: Bacteria
Description: partial 16S ribosomal RNA
Rfam family: Bacterial small subunit ribosomal RNA
Source: RNAcentral
CCUACGGGGGACGGCAGUGAGGAAUAUUGGUCAAUGGACGAGAGUCUGAACCAGCCAAGUAGCGUGAAGGAUGACUGCCCUAUGGGUUGUAAACUUCUUUUAUAUGGGAAUAAAACGUUCCACGUGUGGGAUUUUGUAUGUACCAUAUGAAUAAGGAUCGGCUAACUCCGUGCCAGCAGCCGCGGUAAUACGGAGGAUCCGAGCGUUAUCCGGAUUUAUUGGGUUUAAAGGGAGCGUAGGUGGAUUGUUAAGUCAGUUGUGAAAGUUUGCGGCUCAACCGUAAAAUUGCAGUUGAAACUGGCAGUCUUGAGUACAGUAGAGGUGGGCGGAAUUCGUGGUGUAGCGGUGAAAUGCUUAGAUAUCACGAAGAACUCCGAUUGCGAAGGCAGUUCACUGGACUGCAACUGACACUGAGGCUCGAAAGUGUGGGUAUCAAACAGGAUUAGAUACCCGGGUAGUC